GGAAUUGAAGAAUUAUAACAUAACAAUGAAAACAAAAAAUUAAAAAGGAAUAAGUUACCGGUAUCACUAAUUUGAAGAAGCUUGAUGAGAGAAUUGUAAUCGGCUCGAGCUUUUGCGAAAGGAAUGACCAUGGAGAGGAAAAGGAGAGUAUGAAAAGUUAAUCCACUAAAGGAUUGAAAGAAGUUGGGAAUGAUAAGAUGUUGUAUUGAAAGGAAAGUGAGGAGUGAAGUAUAGCAAAGUGGUUGGAGAAAAAGAGAGAGAGAGAGAAAGUGAGUUUUUUCCCCUUCACAUCCAUAACUUCAUCCUCGACCUCCAUAAUUAUCUGAAUAUCUUUUCAUUUUGCAUUGUUGUAUGUGAGUUAAUAAUAUAAUAAUAAUAGGUUUCCUUUCCACCAAUCAAUUAAAUGAAUUUCGCUGUACAUACUUGCACCACUCCUUUUCGAAAUUCACUUUGCAACUUUGCAUUUUUUUACUGCUUUUGUUACUUUCUUCUUCUUCUUUGUUUCCUAUGUGCUUGUGUGCAUUUCAGUAGUGGUUUGAUCAUGGUGUCAGUAGUGGUUUUAAUGGUGGUGUUGUGUCAUGAUGUGUUGUUGUUAUUCAUUGAGAGACUGACAUUCGAGAUAAGAUUUAAGUUUGAAAUCCUUAACCGCACUUCGAAAUACGACUAAG
Molecule: long non-coding RNA, 668 nt
Filed under: Vigna radiata
Lineage: Eukaryota; Viridiplantae; Streptophyta; Magnoliopsida; Fabales; Fabaceae
Description: long non-coding RNA (VRAD_LNC015226)
Source: RNAcentral